RNAcentral lists this transfer RNA (64 nucleotides) under Curculionoidea sp. 11 KM-2017. Its description in RNAcentral is "tRNA-Phe". Lineage: Eukaryota; Metazoa; Arthropoda; Insecta; Coleoptera. The record is from RNAcentral.
ACUUAAAUAGCUUAAUAAAAGAGUAUUUUAUUGAAGAUAAAAAGGUAAUUUAAAUUUUUAAGUA